Long non-coding RNA from Cyprinus carpio (common carp), 2748 nucleotides. The record is from Ensembl. Lineage: Eukaryota; Metazoa; Chordata; Actinopteri; Cypriniformes; Cyprinidae.
AUGUCUGUGUGCAGAGCAGCCUGGCAGAGGUGUGGGCCUCUCGCGCGACAGUCCCUGUACCGCGCACACCUCAAUAGAGAUGUAGUUCCACGGAGGCUCAUGUCGUUGGUUCCUGGCGGCUCUGGUGAGAAUUUCUUUUACGUCGUCCUCUGCGGUGGAGCCUUCGCAGGUGCCUUGGCAUAUGCUUAUAAAACAGUUUCAACAGACCACGCACGUUUUGUUGAUCGUGUUUCUGAAAUUGAUGCUCGUCCCAAGUCUGACUGGAAACCCAAAGCAUGGCCACCCAAGGGUGGGGAGAAUGGCAAUGAAGAAGCUGGUGCAGAGGAAGGUGAGGUGGCAGAAACUGUAGAGAGCGCAGCCGAGGAGGAUGUUCCUGCUGAGGCACCUGAGGUCUUGCUGGAAACAGCCGAGGCCACUAGAGGGAAGACAGGAACUCUUGAGACCGUUGUGGAAAAGGUUGCCGAGACAGUUGCAGAGACUGCAGAGGUGGUCGCUGAGGUGGCGGGGGUUGUUCAUGAAACAGCAGAGGAAGUGGCAGCGGUGGCACAGGAAGUGCAGAAGGUAGCAGAGGAAGUAGAAGCAGCAGCAAAGGCUGUUGAAACUCCUGUUAUCCAAGCUGAAGAGCCAGCGUCAGAGAGCAACGAAUCAGUCAGCCCAGCAGAAGCAGAACCAGCAAAGCUGGCUGCUGCCUCUGUGAUCGAGGCUGUUCCUAAGGAGUCUGUAUCCAUGGAAGAUGUGCCAGUUGAAGCUGUACCAGAGAAGCCCACUGAGGUUCCUACAACAGAUCAUUUGGAAAGUGAACCUGUAAGAGAAUUGGUAUCCGUUUCUCCAGUUGUAGAAGAGCCACCUGUUGCCACAGUGGUAGAAGAGGCUCCAGUAGUAGAGCCAUUUGAUUCACCAGUAUCCACAGAAGAAGCAUCUGAUGUCCUGGUGAUAGAACAGGAAAUAUUGGUUGUCCCAGUGACAGAAGAGACACCAGUUUCCUCUGUAACAGAAGAGGGAGCAGUUUCCUUGGUUACCGAAGAAGCUCCUGUUGCUGUGGCUGAAGAUGCACCUGUUGUAGCAACCGAAGAACUUGAGGAAACACCUGCAACCAAAGUAACAGAAGAGGUUAUUCCAGUGGUUGAGGAAGGUGUGGAAGUGAAGGCAGCAGAGGCUAUUGUUACAGAGGCUUCGGUAAGUAUAGUCGAUGAAGAAGCAGCAAGUCCAUUUGUGGAAGUUACAGAAAGUGUUGUUGAACCAGAUGUUGCAAGCACAGUGGUAGCUGAGAAAGUUGCUCUAGCUGAAACAUCAAGUGAGCCUGAUUCUUUGGAAGAGCCCAAACGAGACUACAUAGUGGUUAUCUUGGAGGGAGCUCCCAAAACAGAAAAGAAGCCCAUGGUGCUCGGUGUGUCCCCCAUGAUUGGCAAGAUCAUCUCAGCCCCUGAUGAUGGUGAAGAGCCAUCGGGACAGGUAACAGGGCAAGCGCCGUAUGCUUAACGUGCAGAUGCAUUAGCGCCAACUAAAAAAGUUGGGAGCAGUCAGACGUUCUGGGAUAGUAAACUGGUUCCCUGAUAAAGAAUUAGUGAUGUGCCUCGCCCUUUUCUUACUUACCUGACCCCCUGGAUUUCAGUAAUCCUUACACUGGGCCCAGAAGGCUGUUUCCUUCCGACUCUUUCCACUUACAUGCUGUCCACUGGAGAGUGGUUACUUCAUGUGAACUUUCACUUCACUUUGAUGUGAGACAUACAAGUUUGUGACCUAUCUUUAUACCCUUUUUAAAUGGAACUCCAUUCUUUUUGAGUCAACUGCACAUUGGAGCCUAUACUAUAGUGAACCCUACCUCAAACAUCACAUUUUUAGGACAUGUCUUGGAAACGCCAUGUCAAUAGUUACAAUACCAGCAGGGCUAAACAUUUGCCACAAACACUGUCAUAUCUGCAUGCUGACCACCAAUUUUUUGGUUAGACUUCAGGUUCUCCUCUAUCUUCAAUAUAUGCUAUUUUUCAUUUGCAUUAUUUAUGAAUUAACACCAUUUUUAUAUUUGUACCUCUCUACCUCAGCUUGAAAAGACAGUGUUCUCCUUUAACCAGUAACCAGUAUUAUAGUAACCAACUAACAUUACCAAUGUGACAUGAAUAGGUCAAAAAAACAACUGACAAACAGAUAACCUGUAUCAAUAUUAUCAAUACAACAAUAAGCCAUGUUACAAGUCACAUUCCAGUAUUAAUUUUAAAGGCUGACAUUACAAUAUUAUCCAAAAGGUAAACCCCACUGCUGCAUCCUUUGCCUUUGUUUUCUUGUUCUCUCUUAGUUUGUCACCAUCACCAAACCUAUUAUGAAAAUGUUACACUUACUUUGAUACUAGUUUUGAUGCUCAUUUGAUUUGAGAUUUUGGAAUGGUAGACAGAUAUACUAUAUCGAGCCAGAAGGAAAAUUAAUGUCAGAUUAAAAAAAAAAAAACAUACCUAACAAUUUUGUUUCUUAUCUCCUUCAUGUUUCAAAAGGGACCUUAUAAGUGUUAUAGGUAAGAUACAACUUUAUAAUGUGAAUGUGAGGGAAUAAUGUGAAGUAUGGUUUAGUAUAAAGGGUGUGUUCAUGGGUUCUUUUUGAUUUUGUUUUCAGGGUUAGGAAUUUAAUACACAUGCAUGUGCUCUUUUGAAGUUUCACCUUUCACCGUAGGCCCUAACUAGCGUUUUAUUUUAUUUUUUUAACUAUGAAUGUAUGUAAAAGAAAAAUAAAGAGUUGAAAAACAUUUCUGUGUGAUCA